Long non-coding RNA from Branchiostoma floridae (Florida lancelet), 1334 nucleotides. RefSeq lists it as uncharacterized. The transcript is spliced from 4 exons. The record is from RefSeq and is a predicted model, not a curated record. Lineage: Eukaryota; Metazoa; Chordata; Leptocardii; Amphioxiformes; Branchiostomatidae.
GAGAUAUUUUACAACCACAAGUUUGGAUUCAUAACUUUAAAUUGUAAGGAAACAGUACCUUUGACUCGAGUUGAACAUUUUGCUGCAGUAGCAUAUUCUUGACAAAGUCCUCCCCUCCCUCCGUUGUUAUUGGUUCCUCCCCUAGCCGAACAGGUGACGUGUGUCUGGCGGUUGAGGAAACGCGCGGUCGAGAGCGACUCGGAGCACAUUUCAGGUGUACCGUGGUGAGGUGACAGCGCCGUGCGACACUCACGACUCGAGCCAGAUCUCAUUCUCACUCACUUCUACACACACGGAACAGGAACACACGCUUCAACAUGAAGGUUGCUGUUGUGAUUUUGGGUCUAGCUGUUGUAUUCCUGAUGGCCUGGACUGCGCACGCGCAGACAACAGCAAACGCAACCGUCGCGGGAACAACGGCCCAGGCAGCCACCACACCAAGUGGCGCAGAGACCGUCUUGGGUGCGACCACUCUGCUGAUGGGGGCCCUCCUCAUCAACGCCGCUCGUGAGGCCUUCGGCUGGUGAGGUCUGCCAGGACAACGGCGCCGCCUAGCGGGCAUAUUGUGUAGCUGCAGUCUGACUGCGGUGGAAAGUUGUCCGUUUGGUGCCUUGAUGUAUCGUACAGCAAGUUUGACAUAUAACGCCAUGUGUGCAUGAGAACAGUGUUGACAAUCUUCACUACAAUCGUUUGUGCUUUACAGAAAAUGGGAGCAAAUGAAAGCCAGAGGAAAGACUUCUUCUGGCCGGAACAGCUCACCUUUAGCGUUUUUGCUGGUACUUAUACUUGUGUAAACAUGAAAAUAUUGUGAAGACAGGAGCUGUUUUCUGUUGUUGACGUGCUUUGUACUAAAAUUGUCAGUUGUCUUUAAGACAUUUCUAGUACAUUUUCAUUUACCAAGCAUUAAAAUAUCUCAACAAAAUAACUAUUGGUUAAGGAAAUUCUAUGACACAUUUCGCCCCCAUGCAACUGUGACUUCUUUUUGGUGUCUUGAUACUCGAUUGAGUCAAAAGUAAAAUACAUUGUGGAAAUGCUACUUAAUGUUUCAUAUUAGCAUCCACCAGAUUUGUCUAAAAUUACACACCAUUACAAAAAUAUACCAAUGUAAAUGUUAAAAUGUUUUAAAGCUUUCUACAUGUAUGAAUAGUUCCACGUGUGCCUGAGAGAAAAGUCUUACAACUUUGAAAAAUAUCAAGUAAGAAAUCUAAUGAUAUUCUGACAGACUUGCAUAUCAUCCAAAAGUUUUGAUGUUUAAGUGGCCUUGUCACACUGGGGGACAACACCAUGGUGUGAUGUGUUUGUGUAUCUUUUGCAAAUAAAAACUCCUCUUAGGA